ACUACAUGAAGCUGGAAUCGCUAGUAAUCGCGAAUCAGAAUGUCGCGGUGAAUACGUUCCCGGGUCUUGUACACACCGCCCGUCACACCAUGGGAGUUGGGAAUGCCCGAAGCCGGUGACCUAACCGAAAGGGAGGAGCCGUCGAAGGCAGGCUUGAUAACUGGGGUGAAGUCGUAACAAGGUAAC
This 186-nucleotide ribosomal RNA is filed under the name uncultured bacterium. RNAcentral describes it as "partial 16S ribosomal RNA". It matches the Rfam family "Bacterial small subunit ribosomal RNA", at positions 1315 to 1500 of the family's 1533-position model. The record is from RNAcentral.